AGCUAAAACUGAGUAUGGGUCACUCUCUGUUUACAUACGGCAGGAAUAAAAGGCCACUGUCUCAGAAAUUCCUGUCUGGCAAAGGAUCAUGAAAGGAACAAAGGAACAAGUCCCUUGGGAGCAGGUUUUAAAUAAAAGUAACAAAAUGAGAUUUGAUGGAGAGAAAUCAUGAGCAGGGUGGACUGUCCAUCCGGAAGCAGACCAUCAUCCAUUCCUACUCUGCUCGCAUACAGAAGAGCUAUAUGUGUGCUUCACUUGACUCUAGCAGAAACACAAACAUCUGAAAGCUUCAGCAAAAUGUCCUUCGGCUUCUGCUCGUGGGGCAACUGAGAUCCUGAGGCUCUGCUUGCUCUUGUGGUCAUUCUCAUGCCUUAUUUGCUAUGGUGAGUUUCUUCUGCAAUUGCCUCUUGGCUUCUCUGGCUUCUAAGAGGAACUUACUCAUUGCCUCUGAUUCCUGACCAUCAGAUGACCACCAACACCCCAACCCAUCAACAGACAUUCUGGGCCUACUAGGUGCCAGACCUUUGCCAAAGAGGAGAGUCUGCCAGGAAGCCUCUGCAGAUCUUCAGCGUCUAGCCCCUUCUCCAUUCCUUUCACCGCCUUCCUGCACACUUGGUUAGGACCUCUCCUACUUGUGCCUAGAGAAGCAAAGAAGGUUGCUGUCUGCAGCAUUUAUGUAAUUACUGAGAGUCUACAUAUAGAAGCUAAGGCUCAGAGAGAUCUUAGAGCAGGAAAUCGCAGAGCUAG
RNAcentral lists this long non-coding RNA (747 nucleotides) under Monodelphis domestica (gray short-tailed opossum). RNAcentral describes it as "lncRNA (ENSMODG00000049312.1)". The record is from RNAcentral. Lineage: Eukaryota; Metazoa; Chordata; Mammalia; Didelphimorphia; Didelphidae.